UGCAUAGGAAUCUACCUAGUAGUAUAGGAUAGCCACUAGAAGUGGUGGGUAAUACUGUAUAAUCCCUGCGGGGGAAAGAUUUAUCGCUACAUGAUGAGCCUAUGUUAGAUUAGCUAGUUGGUGGGGUAAUGGCCUACCAAGGCAGUGAUCUAUAGCUGGUCUGAGAGGAUGAUCAGCCACACUGGAACUGAGACACGGUCCAGACUCCUACGGGAGGCAGCAGUGGGGAAUAUUGGACAAUGGGCGCAAGCCUGAUCCAGCUAUGCCGCGUGAGUGAGGAAGGCCUUAGGGUUGUAAAACUCUUUCAGUGGGGAAGAUAAUGACGGUACCCACAGAAGAAGUCCCGGCAAACUCCGUGCCAGCAGCCGCGGUAAUACGGAGGGGGCAAGCGUUGUUCGGAAUUAUUGGGCGUAAAGGGCAUGUAGGUGGUUUGGUAAGUUAAAGGUGAAAUGCCAGGGCUUAACCCUGGAGCUGCUUUUAAUACUGCCAGACUGGAGUCCGGGAGAGGAUAGCGGAAUUCCUAGUGUAGAGGUGAAAUUCGUAGAUAUUAGG
Molecule: ribosomal RNA, 552 nt
Filed under: Anaplasma bovis
Lineage: Bacteria; Pseudomonadati; Pseudomonadota; Alphaproteobacteria; Rickettsiales; Anaplasmataceae
Description: bacterial SSU rRNA
Rfam family: Bacterial small subunit ribosomal RNA
Source: RNAcentral